UAGUCCACGCCGUAAACGAUGUCAACUAGCCGUUGGAUUCCUUGAGGAUUUAGUGGCGCAGCUAACGCGAUAAGUUGACCGCCUGGGGAGUACGGCCGCAAGGUUAAAACUCAAAUGAAUUGACGGGGGCCCGCACAAGCGGUGGAGCAUGUGGUUUAAUUCGACGCAACGCGAAGAACCUUACCAGGUCUUGACAUCCUAGAAACUUAGCAGAGAUGCUUUGGUGCCUUCGGGAAUCUAGUGACAGGUGCUGCAUGGCUGUCGUCAGCUCGUGUCGUGAGAUGUUGGGUUAAGUCCCGUAACGAGCGCAACCCUUGUCCUUAGUUGCCAGCAUGUAAAGAUGGGGACUCUAGCGGGACUGCCAGUGCAAACUGUGGGGAAGGUGGGGAUGACGUCAAAUCAUCACGGCCCUUACGUCCUGGGCUACGCACGUGCUACAAUGGUAUAGACAGAGAGCAGCCACUACGCGAGUAGGAGCGAAUCUUCAAACUAUAU
RNAcentral lists this ribosomal RNA (495 nucleotides) under uncultured bacterium. RNAcentral describes it as "bacterial SSU rRNA". It matches the Rfam family "Bacterial small subunit ribosomal RNA", at positions 791 to 1286 of the family's 1533-position model. The record is from RNAcentral.